AUCAUUUCUCAGACUUUUGGCUAACAUGAAGUAUAGUAUCUGUUCUUAUCAGUUUAAUAUCUGAUAUGUCCUCUAUGCAAGGACAAUAUCCUAAAUGGAUUUUUGGAGCAGGGUGAUGGACUAGGAGCUUGAUCCAUCCACUCUGUGUAUCGACCUGGUAUUGCAGUGCCUCCAGGAAUGGUGCACCCCUC
Small nuclear RNA from Cynocephalus volans (Philippine flying lemur), 191 nucleotides. RefSeq annotates it as U2 spliceosomal RNA. NCBI's taxonomy places the organism in Eukaryota, Metazoa, Chordata, Mammalia, Dermoptera, Cynocephalidae. The transcript has a single exon. The record is from RefSeq and is a predicted model, not a curated record.